This is a long non-coding RNA of Hibiscus syriacus, 368 nucleotides long. RefSeq lists it as uncharacterized. The record is from RefSeq and is a predicted model, not a curated record. NCBI's taxonomy places the organism in Eukaryota, Viridiplantae, Streptophyta, Magnoliopsida, Malvales, Malvaceae. The transcript is spliced from 3 exons.
AGGUACUUGGAGUGAUGGAAAACUAGUUACUAGAAUCGGAAGAAACAGUGGCUGUGUUUUGACGAUCAUGAACAUUUUGGUUUAGUUUGGUGCUCCAGAAAGUAUAUUGGUUGAUGGAAAGCCUCACUUGGGAACUGAUAGGCUAGUUCCUUUACUCCGUAACUUCCGCCAACAUCUUCAAUCACUGGGUGUGGAAAUCAAGUUUGGAACAAGGGUAGAUGAUUUGCUCAUACAGAAUGGACAUGUUGUGGGCGUGGAAGUCUGAUUCAACAACUAAAUUGCAAUCAGAUUGCAAUAAGUUGGGAUUUGAUGCGGUUAUUCUGGCAGUUGGGCAUUCUGCACGAGAUAUAUAUCAAAUGCUUCUUUCU